Molecule: ribosomal RNA, 497 nt
Filed under: uncultured bacterium
Lineage: Bacteria
Description: partial 16S ribosomal RNA
Rfam family: Bacterial small subunit ribosomal RNA
Source: RNAcentral
GACGAACGCUGGCGGCGUGCCUAAUACAUGCAAGUUGAGCGAUGAAGAUUGGUGCUUGCACCAAUUUGAAGAGCAGCGAACGGGUGAGUAACGCGUGGGGAAUCUGCCUUUGAGCGGGGGACAACAUUUGGAAACGAAUGCUAAUACCGCAUAAUAACUUUAAACAUAAGUUUUAAGUUUGAAAGAUGCAAUUGCAUCACUCAAAGAUGAUCCCGCGUUGUAUUAGCUAGUUGGUGAGGUAAAGGCUCACCAAGGCGAUGAUACAUAGCCGACCUGAGAGGGUGAUCGGCCACAUUGGGACUGAGACACGGCCCAAACUCCUACGGGAGGCAGCAGUAGGGAAUCUUCGGCAAUGGACGAAAGUCUGACCGAGCAACGCCGCGUGAGUGAAGAAGGGUUUCGGAUCGUAAAACUCUGUUGGUAGAGAAGAACGUUGGUGAGAGUGGAAAGCUCAUCAAGUGACGGUAACUACCCAGAAAGGGACAGCUAACUACGUG